RNAcentral lists this non-coding RNA (78 nucleotides) under Rhodospirillales bacterium. The record is from RNAcentral. Lineage: Bacteria; Pseudomonadati; Pseudomonadota; Alphaproteobacteria; Rhodospirillales.
AAGCGAAACCCGGCGGGGCUGGAUGCCCCGCCGGUUCGUCCCGGCGUGGUGGCCGGGGCCUGACGAUGCCAGCCAGCA